This 255-nucleotide ribosomal RNA is filed under the name uncultured bacterium. RNAcentral describes it as "partial 16S ribosomal RNA". It matches the Rfam family "Bacterial small subunit ribosomal RNA", at positions 524 to 777 of the family's 1533-position model. The record is from RNAcentral.
UACGUAGGGGCAAGGCGUUGUCCGGAUUUAUUGGGCGUAAAGAGCGUGUAGGCGGCUAGGUAGGUCCGCUGUUAAAACUCCGAGGCUUAACCUCGAGAGGUCGGUGGAAACCCUCUGGCUAGAGUCCGGAAGAGGAGAGUGGAAUUCCUGGUGUAGCGGUGAAAUGCGCAGAUAAUCAGGAAGAACACCGUGGCGAAGGCGGCUCUCUGGGACGGUACUGACGCUGAGACGCGAAAGCGUGGGGAGCGAACAGGA